UGUUAUUGGACUUCUGUGCUCGUUACGGAUUGUCCAUAACGAACACCAUGCUCAAGCAUAAGGGUGUCCACACGUGCACUUGGCACCAGGACACCCUAGGUCGCAGUUCGAUGAUCGACUUUGUGGUCGUGUCAUCGGACUUGCGGCCGCAUGUCUUGGACACUCGGGUAAAGAGAGGGGCGGAGCUGUCAACUGAUCACCACCUGGUGGUGAGUUGGCUCCGAUGGUUUACUGGUCUCGAUUUACCGGUCGAUCUACGUUCCUACCCUCACCUAUGGUCCCGAGCUGUGGGCCGUGACCGAAAGAACGAGAUCCCGGAUACAAGCCACCGAAAUGAGUUUCGGCUCUCCCUGAUAGAUAGGGUGAGAAGCUCGGUCAUCAGAGUAGAGCCGUUGCUCUUUCACAUCGAGAGAAGCCAGAUGAGGUGGCUGGGGCAUCUGAUUUGGAUGCCUCCCGGACGCCUCCCUGGUGAGGUGUUCCGGGCACGUCCCACCGGGAGGAGACCCCGGGGACGAGCCAGGUCACGCUGGAGAGACUACAUCCUUCGGCUGGCCUGGGAACGCCUCGGGAUCCCCCCGGAAGAGAUGGAUGAAGUGGCUGGGGAAAGGGAAGUCUGAGCGUCCCUGCUAAAGCUACUGCCCCCGCGACCCGACCUCGGAUAAGCAGUAGAAGAUGGAUGGAUGGAUGGAUGGAUGUAGUAACUACAAAGUAACACAGAAGUAGUUACAAUUGAAAGCACAUAAUUAAAUAAUACAGUAUAACAAAUUAAUCUGAACAACUCAUAAAUUGCAUAAUAUAUUACAUUUUGACAUUUGCUCAAUGUACCUGGUGCCUAAAGGUCACACGCAUUAUCAAUUGUCUGGGUAAGCAAUCAAUUCUCUUAUGCACCUCACACCUUAACAUGUGAUUCAUUGUAAAGGAGUUGGACUUUAAGAUGACACCAGAAUCCUAUUAUAAAAGGUCCUUCUCUGCUUUCCCAGGGUCCACGGGUGCCAAUUUUCAAUAGCCUACAGAAGCUUGUCAGUCUGAUGACAGCUGUUUUUCAGCAUCGGGCCAAGAAUGUUGGUGGCAAUGAUUUCUUAAUAAUUCCGAUGAGGAAACAAGGUUAUAAAGAUGACCCUCGCCGCUGUUAAGUACAGCUGCUCGACCCACUUCUCUGUCAGUCACCCUGACAACAAUACAACCUGUCUUCCUGGGAAUUGAUGUCUAUCUUCAGACCAAGCGAGUCAUCAAAGGGACCUGUUUUGAAGACGGGAUGACAUCAAGAUGGCCGUGACAAUGGAGCUGCGGCGGAUCUCAGAAGAAUUCUUCCAGGAGUUCAUGAAGACGUGGAUGGAAGCUGGAAGACAGCUGCCCGUUUGAACAGGUGCACAUGUUGGGUCUGGAACAGAAGCCAUCACCACAGGAGUUCCUGCAUAUUGCUGUUAGGUCAAAGGAGAAAGGGGAGAGGCCAUCAUUUUAAACCAGGCAAUGCAGC
Phyllopteryx taeniolatus (common seadragon) is the source of this 1477-nucleotide long non-coding RNA. RefSeq lists it as uncharacterized. The record is from RefSeq and is a predicted model, not a curated record. The transcript is spliced from 3 exons. Lineage: Eukaryota; Metazoa; Chordata; Actinopteri; Syngnathiformes; Syngnathidae.